Long non-coding RNA from Acinonyx jubatus (cheetah), 1883 nucleotides. RefSeq lists it as uncharacterized. The record is from RefSeq and is a predicted model, not a curated record. The transcript is spliced from 4 exons. NCBI's taxonomy places the organism in Eukaryota, Metazoa, Chordata, Mammalia, Carnivora, Felidae.
CAGCCUGCAAGGGAAUGUUGACAAGGUAACUAAGCAACACUGGCAAGGAAAGUUCUUAUUUUUCUUUUCCUCUUGAUGUCUUCUGCCUUAUUAGUUGAAAAUUCAAAGUGUCCUUGCCAGGAUGAGGAAGAAAUGAAGCAAUUCUCCCAUUCACUCUGGAGAGAUCCAUCUUUCUAGGUGUGACCACCUCUAAAGAGAUGUUGGUAGUACAGAAGGGUGGGCAGGACAGAAAGGAGAGAAACCAAAGCUGGUAUUAGUUCGGGGAAAGAAGUUCACUAUCUCAUCUACAGGAUGGAGGACUCCUGGCAGGACCAGCCGGCAGGGCGAUUCACCAUAGGAAGAUUACAACUCAGCUGUGACCUCUGCUAGAGUGAUCCUGCUGGAGGAUUCAACUGCACCCUCAGAAACUCUCAAGAGAGAAAAGACAACCAUCUACCUGUGGGCUUUUCAACUGGCCUUGGUGAAAACAGAUGGAUAUAGAGGACAGGCCAGAAAUGAGGACAGACUCCAAAGCCAAAGUAGUAGGCAUGACAGUAAAUACUGCGAUCCCUCAGAGAAACCUGCACCGUCAAGCAAGAAUUAACAUAGAGAUUUAUGGCUACACAAAUGCACAAAAUGUACCUGGUUCCACCCUUCGGAAACCUUCCUGCUAUUGUUUCAAAAGCAAGCUACUAAACUGUUUAGUUUCAAGAUUCAUUCAAGUACAGGGCUCAAAUGGUAAAGCCAAAUAGAGGAAGUCUUAAAAAAAACUGGGGUAAAUUUCAGCCAAAAAUUAAAAGUUGUGGAUUAUGACAUACUGGUUACCAGUGGAAGGAACACAAAUAAAAUGAGUUAGUAAAAUCCAUUUAGUAAAAACAACUCCUCAACAGAGUUGUUCUAAAUGAAAAAAGGGGGGGGGGGCACAAACUGAAGAAAUUGGGGCAUGCACACUACAAAGCAGUAAGUAUACACCUGGCAUCUUCCAAGAAUUUCUCUAAUAAUGCUUUUGCACAGUCUCCCUAAUAACUCUACCGAGAUCAUGUCAAUUAUUUUAGUAAUUUAUGGCUGCAGUCUUGCCAAAUGUCUGCCAUGCUGGAGGGAAGAAAAUUGGAACUUUGAGUUAAUAAAGAUUAUCUGAUUACAUGGGCAGGGUCAGAAGUCAGAACAGUAUGCUUUUAUUAAAAGCACCUCUAAGGGACAACAGGAAAAAUGCUUAAUCUCAUUUGUGAUUAAAGAAAUGCAAAAGACAAGAGCAUACUUCCCUCCCAUCGGUCUGGCAGAAAUGAAAAACAGCGAUUAUAAUACAAAGUGUGAGUGGGGUGCAGGAUGCAAGGAAAAAAAUCCUCUUGUAUCUUGUUAGAGAGAAGGUAAAGCGGCACACCCUUCCUACAGGACGCUAUGGCAAUCUUAAAUAUCCUAAAAAUUGCAUUCAACCUAGCUGUACUAUCUCCAGAAAUUUAUCCAAGGAAAUCAUUGGAUAAGAUUGUCCACUGGAGCCUUCCUUAUAAUAUCCCCCUUCCUUUUGUCUUCAUUUUCACUUCUCUGUAUUUUUUUUUCCUACAGUGAUUUGGGGGAGGGAGGGUAGUUAAUUCUAAAAUUAAAGAAACUGUACAAGAUUAUCUUCCACUACAAUUAUCCUGUUUUCCUUACUGGAGCAGACCAGGACAAUCACUGCCCUUACACUUUGUUAAUGAUGCCUUUGGGCACUUCUUGGGCAACCCAGGUCUGCCUUGUUGCUCUUCUCCUGCUGCUACUGUGCAAAAUUUCAAAGGAAUCCUUCCUUAUGCAUCAUUUUCAUAAUGAAAUGUUUGUAAAGAGCCUUCCAGUGCUUCAAAGAUUUUGCUUUUUGUUGUUGUUGUUGGUACCACUGGUAAUAUGCAGCACUUUCUGGAAGUGCUCUGUGU